GGAGGUGUCACACCCGGUUCCAUGCCGAACCCGGCAGUUAAGCCCUCCAGCGCCGAUGGUACUGCGGACGUAUCCGUGGGAGAGCAGGACGCCGCCGGAA
RNAcentral lists this ribosomal RNA (100 nucleotides) under Synergistaceae bacterium. Lineage: Bacteria; Thermotogati; Synergistota; Synergistia; Synergistales; Synergistaceae. The record is from RNAcentral.